GGCACAGUGGCGCAGUGGGUAGCACUUCCGCCUCACAGCAGACGGCCUGGGUUCGAUUCCCGGCUGGGGCA
RNAcentral lists this transfer RNA (71 nucleotides) under Astyanax mexicanus (Mexican tetra). It matches the Rfam family "tRNA". Rfam says of the family: Transfer RNA (tRNA) molecules are approximately 80 nucleotides in length. Lineage: Eukaryota; Metazoa; Chordata; Actinopteri; Characiformes; Acestrorhamphidae. The record is from Rfam by way of RNAcentral.